Molecule: ribosomal RNA, 887 nt
Filed under: uncultured Synechococcus sp.
Lineage: Bacteria; Bacillati; Cyanobacteriota; Cyanophyceae; Synechococcales; Synechococcaceae
Description: bacterial SSU rRNA
Rfam family: Bacterial small subunit ribosomal RNA
Source: RNAcentral
GUGUGGUAGGGGCAGAGGGAAUUCCCGGUGUAGCGGUGAAAUGCGUAGAUAUCGGGAAGAACACCAGUGGCGAAGGCGCUCUGCUGGGCCAUAACUGACGCUCAUGGACGAAAGCCAGGGAGCGAAAGGGAUUAGAUACCCCUGUAGUCCUGGCCGUAAACGAUGAACACUAGGUGUCGGGGGAAUCGACCCCCUCGGUGUCGUAGCCAACGCGUUAAGUGUUCCGCCUGGGGAGUACGCACGCAAGUGUGAAACUCAAAGGAAUUGACGGGGGCCCGCACAAGCGGUGGAGUAUGUGGUUUAAUUCGAUGCAACGCGAAGAACCUUACCAGGGUUUGACAUCCUGCGAAUCCCUUGGAAACGAGGGAGUGCCUUCGGGAGCGCAGAGACAGGUGGUGCAUGGCUGUCGUCAGCUCGUGUCGUGAGAUGUUGGGUUAAGUCCCGCAACGAGCGCAACCCACGUCGUUAGUUGCCAGCAUUCAGUUGGGCACUCUAGCGAGACCGCCGGUGAUAAACCGGAGGAAGGUGUGGAUGACGUCAAGUCAUCAUGCCCCUUACAUCCUGGGCUACACACGUACUACAAUGCUACGGACAAAGGGCAGCAAACUCGCGAGAGCUAGCAAAUCCCAUAAACCGUGGCUCAGUUCAGAUCGUAGGCUGCAACUCGCCUACGUGAAGGAGGAAUCGCUAGUAAUCGCAGGUCAGCAUACUGCGGUGAAUACGUUCCCGGGCCUUGUACACACCGCCCGUCACACCAUGGAAGUUGGCCACGCCCGAAGCCGUUACUCCAACCCUUGUGGAGGAGGACGUCGAAGGUGGGGCUGAUGACUGGGGUGAAGUCGUAACAAGGUAGCCGUACCGGAAGGUGCGGCUGGAUCACCUCCUAA